UUGUNAUCUGGCUCUUUCANAGUCCGAGUUGUAGUCUCGAGAAGCAUCAUCCGCGCCGGACCUUGGAUAUGUCUGUUGGAAAACAGCGUCAUAGAGGGUGACAAUCCCGUUUGUGCCAAGGACGCCCGUGUGCAUUGCGGUGUGCUUUCUAAGAGUCGAGUUGUUUGGGAAUGCAGCUCAAAUUGGGUGGUAAAUUCCAUCUAAAGCUAAAUAUUGGCGAGAGACCGAUAGCGAACAAGUACCGUGAGGGAAAGAUGAAAAGCACUUUGGAAAGAGAAUGAAACAGUAUGUGAAAUUGCUGGAAGGGAAACGUUUGAAGUUAGACUUGCUUUUGUCACAUUCAGCCUUUUAGGUGUACUUGUGGCUUGUGCAGGCCAGCAUCGGUUUGCUUUGCGGUAUAAGGGUGCAUGGGAUGUAGCUGCCUCGGCAGUGUUAUAAACUUGCACUGGAUGCCGAAUCGCAGACCGAGGUUCGCAGCGCGCCUUUUUUGGCAAUGGGCUUGCCCAUC
This 508-nucleotide ribosomal RNA is filed under the name Cystobasidiopsis lactophilus. RNAcentral's name for it is "LSU rRNA". It matches the Rfam family "Eukaryotic large subunit ribosomal RNA", at positions 115 to 633 of the family's 3401-position model. Lineage: Eukaryota; Fungi; Basidiomycota; Agaricostilbomycetes; Agaricostilbales; Chionosphaeraceae. The record is from RNAcentral.